CCCGCCCCGGCCGCCUCGCGGUUUGCUGGCGGCUACGCUGCCUGCGGCGGGCGGUUCUGUCCCCAUUGAGAGGGCGAGCCCCGGGCGGGGGCGCGAGGACCGCCCGGGGACGGCCUGGCGCAGGGCCGUUAUCAGUCUCCAUCGGCUCCUGGGGCAGGAGAGAGAGAACGCGCCGGCGGAGGGCGCGGGGAGGGCCGGAGAGCCCGGGGUAGUUUUCCACCUCUCUCAUUUAUUCCGCCGCCGGAGAAAGCCGGGUUCGCAGCGCCGAAGCGCUUCCCGGCGGGUGCGCGGCGGCCACGGUGGCUUCGCUCACUGUCCCUGCAGAUACCCUCUCCCCGGCCAGGCGCCGUCCUGCGGCCGGACUCCCACCCUCCUCCCCAACCCGAGCCGGCGGUGCGCGCCACCCUCCGGGGUUUAUCCCUGGGGCGCAGGCCUGCGCGCGCGACCUCGCCCGCCAGGUCCUCCCGUUCCCGCCGCCGGGACCCCGGCCCCGAGAACUCCGACGAAAGCCGGCCCCUGCCUCCAAGCCGCUCUGGGGAAGUGAGCCAAGCCCCCAGCGGGGCCGGCGGCGGCGCUUACCCAGUCCGCUCAGCAGGAAGGACUCGCUCCUUUUCUGCGCCUCGGCCCUCUUUUUGUGGCGGGGCCGCAGCAGGGACUCGAGCCGGGCUCUGGCCAGCGCGCCCUGCAUCUCCCCCAUGGGCAGCGGGCGGCGGGGCGCGCGGCAGACGAGAGCGACCGGCGAGCACUGACGUUUCCUUGAAGGAGCCGCCGUGACUCAGGCCGGGCAAGAUUUCCUGCCCCGAGUCCCAAAACAAACAAAUGGCCCUUGUGCACGGUCGGGUCGCUUCCGAAAACGCCUUUUUUGUGCUUUUGGCCAAAACCAAGCAAGGCUGAAAAAUCCCAGAACUUGGAAGAGGAGGAAGGAAGGAAAGAAAGAGGGAAAAGGGGGAGGGAGAGGUCAGGAAUGUGGAGGGGAGGGGGCGGAAAUAAAAGUCGUCUCUGCACUAAAGGAAGAAGUACAAUCUGCAUUUCACUUUUUUUUUUCUGAAGUAAUCUCUGAGAACAUUUUGUCCGUUCCGCAUGUAAUUUUUUUCCUUGCAUUUUUAAUCUCUGCCAUGCCAAGAACACGUGAGGAGGUAACAAGCGAAGGGAGGGGUAGCUUUGCCCGGGGGCAGACCUGGCGUGAACCGGGCAUCCUCGAUUCCUCUGUGGGGCCUGCUCCUCUCCCGCUGUCCCACCUGAAAACCCUGCAGGUCAUGAUACAUGGUCUUAAAAUCGUCCCUACCCUCCCUGGGUUUAACUCAAGGCUGCCCCAGGGCUUCUUAGUUUUGCCACCUCGCUCGCUCUUUAUGUGAGUCCCACAUAAACUGUGACUUUAUCCUGAAAGAUUAGCCGGGUGACUCCGCUGCAGAAGGCAGGGAAGAGAGGGAAGCUCGAGGCGGCGGCCCGGGCUCUGCAGAACAGCGAUGCCGGUGCCUUCCAGUAACCCCGCGGCUGGGGGAUGUCUGGGAGCCGCAGCCUGACCGCCGGCGCGGGGACGUGAGCCAGUGCUGGCCGGGAAGCCGCGAGCACGGCGACUGGGCCCGGAGCGGGCAGUUACAAGUUACCACUAUUCGCAGG
This 1620-nucleotide long non-coding RNA is filed under the name Homo sapiens (human). Its description in RNAcentral is "LHRI_LNC1215.1". The record is from RNAcentral. Lineage: Eukaryota; Metazoa; Chordata; Mammalia; Primates; Hominidae.